UACGAAGGGGGCUGGCGUUGUUCGGAAUUACUGGGCGUAAAGGGCGCGUAGGCGGUACUUCAAGUCAGGCGUGAAAGCCCCGGGCUCAACCUGGGAACCGCGCUUGAGACUGGAGAACUAGAGUUCGGGAGAGGAUGGUGGAAUUCCCAGUGUAGAGGUGAAAUUCGUAGAUAUUGGGAAGAACACCGAUGGCGAAGGCAGCCAUCUGGACCGACACUGACGCUGAGGCGCGAAAGCGUGGGGAGCAAACAGG
RNAcentral lists this ribosomal RNA (253 nucleotides) under uncultured bacterium. RNAcentral's name for it is "partial 16S ribosomal RNA". It matches the Rfam family "Bacterial small subunit ribosomal RNA", at positions 524 to 776 of the family's 1533-position model. The record is from RNAcentral.